This 212-nucleotide unclassified non-coding RNA is filed under the name Rhizophagus sp. (in: glomeromycetes). RNAcentral describes it as "partial contains 5.8S ribosomal RNA and internal transcribed spacer 2". The stretch from base 1 to 65 matches the Rfam family "5.8S ribosomal RNA", at positions 84 to 154 of the family's 154-position model. Lineage: Eukaryota; Fungi; Glomeromycota; Glomeromycetes; Glomerales; Glomeraceae. The record is from RNAcentral.
GUGAAUCAUCGAAUUUUUGAACGCAAAUUGCACUCUCUUCGGAGAUUAUGGCUGUUUGAGGGUCAGUAUUAAUAAAAAUCGGUGUGUUGCUUCUUUGUUACGAUUCGGAGUUAGGGUCAUCUUAAUAUCCUUUAGGUUUUAAGAGGCUUAAAAUUGACUUUUUUUGCGAUUUUUCGAUUUACAUAAAUUCUUUUUUGUAUUCGUCUGUCUUA